RNAcentral lists this ribosomal RNA (491 nucleotides) under uncultured bacterium. RNAcentral describes it as "bacterial SSU rRNA". It matches the Rfam family "Bacterial small subunit ribosomal RNA", at positions 15 to 518 of the family's 1533-position model. The record is from RNAcentral.
GAUCAUGGCUCAGAACGAACGCUGGUGGCGUGUCUUAUACAUGCAAGUCGAGCGAGGCAGCAAUGCCGAGCGGCGAACGGGUGAGUAACGCGUAAGCAAUCUGCCCCAUAUCAGGAAAUACCCGUGCCAACGCGCGGUUAAUGUCCAGGAGAGUGGCCUUCCGCAUGGAGGGUUGACUAGAGAUUUAUCGGUAUGGGAUGAGCUUGCGUCCGAUUAGCUAGUUGGCGGGCAACGGCCCACCAAGGCGACGAUCGGUAGCCGGCCUGAGAGGGUGAUCGGCCACAUUGGGACUGAGAUACGGCCCAGACUCCUACGGGAGGCAGCAGUAGGGAAUAUUGCACAAUGGGGGAAACCCUGAUGCAGCAACGCCAACGUGUGGGAAGAAGCAUUUCGGUGUGUAAACCACUGUCAUGAGGGAAUAAGGCCCGCCUUCGGACGGGAUUGAAUGUACCUUGAGAGGAAGCACCGGCAAACUUCGUGCCAGCCGCCGC